RNAcentral lists this transfer RNA (70 nucleotides) under Ophidiaster granifer. RNAcentral's name for it is "tRNA-Thr". The record is from RNAcentral. Lineage: Eukaryota; Metazoa; Echinodermata; Asteroidea; Valvatida; Ophidiasteridae.
GCUCUAAAAGCUAUGCGAGCAGUUAAUCUUGUAAAUUAAAAGAGAAAGGUAUAAAAUCCUUUUUAGAGCU